RNAcentral lists this ribosomal RNA (253 nucleotides) under uncultured bacterium. RNAcentral's name for it is "partial 16S ribosomal RNA". It matches the Rfam family "Bacterial small subunit ribosomal RNA", at positions 524 to 776 of the family's 1533-position model. The record is from RNAcentral.
UACAGAGGUGGCAAGCGUUGUUCGGAAUUACUGGGCGUAAAGGGCGCGUAGGCGGCCUUCUAAGUCAGACGUGAAAUCCCCCGGCUUAACCUGGGAACUGCGUCUGAUACUGGAGGGCUUGAGUAUGGGAGAGGGAUGUAGAAUUCCAGGUGUAGCGGUGAAAUGCGUAGAUAUCUGGAGGAAUACCGGUGGCGAAGGCGGCAUCCUGGACCAUUACUGACGCUGAGGCGCGAAAGCCAGGGGAGCAAACGGG